This 375-nucleotide long non-coding RNA is filed under the name Nicotiana benthamiana. Its description in RNAcentral is "long non-coding RNA (NBEN_LNC013687)". Lineage: Eukaryota; Viridiplantae; Streptophyta; Magnoliopsida; Solanales; Solanaceae. The record is from RNAcentral.
UAAAAUCUUGGGCUAAUAGUGAAUACUCUUUCUUCUUCUGCUCGUUUCGUUUCUACUUGUCCAUCUUUACUCAUAAAAGAAAAUUUCCCUUUAAAAGAACAACUUUUUCUGUUCAUAUCAACAUCUCAGUAAUCCCUAAACAGUGGAUAAACGUACUAACGUAGCCCUCAUCCACUUUUAAGAGAUGUGAAAAGUGAGGAAAUUGCUAAACAAUUAUUGGGAGUGAAGAACAAAGGCAAAAAUUUAUGGACGAACAGAAGAAGAUAUGAGUUAUUUAAGUUCCAAAUAUAAACUAGUUAAGGAAGUUGUGCCUGUUGUGGCGAGGGGUUAAAAGGCCAGUAGCUUCAAAUCGAGAGUAUGCUUAUAACGCCGUGA